CAGCCGCCGCGGUAAUACAGAGGGUGCAAGCGUUAAUCGGAAUUACUGGGCGUAAGGCGCGCGUAGGUGGUUUGUUAAGUUGGAUGUGAAAUCCCCGGGCUCAACCUGGGAACUGCAUUCAAAACUGACUGACUAGAGUAUGGUAGAGGGUGGUGGAAUUUCCUGUGUAGCGGUGAAAUGCGUAGAUAUAGGAAGGAACACCAGUGGCGAAGGCGACCACCUGGACUAAUACUGACACUGAGGUGCGAAAGCGUGGGGAGCAAACAGGAUUAGAUACCCGAGUAGUCCCUGUCUCUUAUAC
RNAcentral lists this ribosomal RNA (301 nucleotides) under uncultured bacterium. RNAcentral describes it as "partial 16S ribosomal RNA". It matches the Rfam family "Bacterial small subunit ribosomal RNA", at positions 509 to 807 of the family's 1533-position model. The record is from RNAcentral.